GACGAACCACACAAACGUUAUUCGGAAUUACUGGGCUUAAAGGGUGCGUAGGCGGCGCGGAAAGUAGGGUGUGAAAUCCCUCAGCUCAACUGAGGAACUGCGCUCUAAACUACCGUGCUUGAGGGAGAUAGAGGUGAGCGGAACUUAGGGUGGAGCGGUGAAAUGCGUUGAUAUCCUAAGGAACACCGGUGGCGAAAGCGGCUCACUGGAUCUCUUCUGACGCUGAGGCACGAAAGCUAGGGGAGCGAACGGG
Molecule: ribosomal RNA, 253 nt
Filed under: uncultured bacterium
Lineage: Bacteria
Description: partial 16S ribosomal RNA
Rfam family: Bacterial small subunit ribosomal RNA
Source: RNAcentral